AGCUCCAAUAGCGUAUAUUAAAGUUGUUGCAGUUAAAAAGCUCGUAGUUGGAUUUCUGAUUUGAACGUCCGGUCCGCUUCUUCGAAGCGCGAACUAUGGAUGUUUGGGUCAUUUUUUGUGAGGAUGCCUUUCUGCCAUUAAGUUGGUGGUUGGGUGGACUUGCAUCGUUUACUGUGAAAAAAUUAGAGUGUUUAAAGCAGGCGUUUGCUCAUUUGAAUACAUUAGCAUGGAAUAAUAAGAUACGACCUUGGUGGUCUAUUUUGUUGGUUUGCACACCAGGGUAAUGAUUAAUAGGGACAGUUGGGGGUAUUCAUAUUUCAGCGUCAGAGGUGAAAUUCUUGGAUCGCUGAAAGAUGAGCUUAGGCGAAAGCAUUUACCAAGGAUGUUUUCA
This 391-nucleotide ribosomal RNA is filed under the name uncultured eukaryote. RNAcentral's name for it is "SSU rRNA". It matches the Rfam family "Eukaryotic small subunit ribosomal RNA", at positions 587 to 972 of the family's 1831-position model. The record is from RNAcentral.